RNAcentral lists this ribosomal RNA (439 nucleotides) under uncultured bacterium. RNAcentral describes it as "partial 16S ribosomal RNA". It matches the Rfam family "Bacterial small subunit ribosomal RNA", at positions 339 to 795 of the family's 1533-position model. The record is from RNAcentral.
CUACGGGCGGCAGCAGUGGGGAAUAUUGCACAAUGGAGGAAACUCUGAUGCAGCAACGCCGCGUGGAGGAUGACACUUUUCGGAGCGUAAACUCCUUUUAUAUAGGAAGAUAAUGACGGUACCAUAUGAAUAAGCACCGGCUAACUCCGUGCCAGCAGCCGCGGUAAUACGGAGGGUGCAAGCGUUACUCGGAAUCACUGGGCGUAAAGAGCGUGUAGGCGGGUUAAUAAGUCAGAAGUGAAAUCCUAUGGCUCAACCAUAGAACUGCUUUUGAAACUGUUAACCUAGAGUGUGGGAGAGGUAGAUGGAAUUUCUGGUGUAGGGGUAAAAUCCGUAGAGAUCAGAAGGAAUACCGAUUGCGAAGGCGAUCUACUGGAACAUAACUGACGCUGAGACGCGAAAGCGUGGGGAGCAAACAGGAUUAGAUACCCCCGUAGUC